AAACUAGGUGAACCUGAAGAGAAGGCGGAAGUAGGGCGGAAGAAGUAUAGCUACUGCUGCGUUGCUGCAAUCGCUAUUUCCUCUAUGUUUAGCUAAUAUUUACAUAUCUCUUUAAAUUUUGUUGUGCCCUAAUAUACAUUAAUCUCAUUUGAUUCUCACAACAAGCCUCUGAGAGAGAUACUUUUAGUCUCAUCCCCAUUUUAGAGAUGAGGAAACUGAAACUCGACAGGGUUAAGUGAUAUGUGGGGCCACACAGCAGGUGUGAACCUAGCGUUCGAAUCCAGCAUUCCUAACUCCAAAAGUGCCGCUUAGGUCACCGAGACGACAUCCUCAUUUACAUCCAUUUUUUUGGUCUGGUUCAUUCAUUCAAAAAACAUUAAGUGCCUACUAUGUGCAAGGCACUAUGUGGUGUAUAGCUACACCUCCAGGACUUUCAGGACUGGUGACUCCCAUUACCAGAGGAUUAAGCAUCUGGAGAGUGAGAAGAGGUGAUGAAACCAAGUUCCAGCGAAGUUAAGUGAAUUGUUCAUGGUCAUACAGAUAGAAAAUGGCAGAACCAAGAUCUGCAUGCAUCCUUUGAUUCCAAAACUAGGAAAGGACCAUUGUGUUUGAGCCCUUGUUUCUCCUGACUGAUUUGUGAAUGAUUAUCAAAGAUAGAGUGGACCAGAAAAAGAUCAGAAGAGCCAUCUGAGAUCUAGCAUCUGGAGUGCCCUGCAGGACUCAGCUUAGCAGUGAAUUGACCCUGCAACUGUUCUCCUGGUUCUGCUUACUUUACUUUGAAUCAGUUUAUAUGUCUUUCUAGUCUUUCCUUAACUCAUUUUGUUCAUUAUUCCUUAUGGUACAGUAGUAUUCCAUUAUAACCAUAUAUCACAACUUGUUCAUCUAUUCCCCAAGUAAUGUAUCCAGUUCUUUGCCACCUCAAAAAGAACUGCUAAAAAUAUUUUGGUAUAGUUAGGUGCUUUUCCCUUAUCUACCAUUGCUGGGUCAAAGGGUAUGCAUAGCUUUGUGGUCCUUUGAACACGUUUUUUUUUUAUUGCUUUCCAGAAUGAUUGUAUCAGUUCACAGUUCUACCAACAGCCUACACAUAAAAUUUUGCCACAUCCACCAUUUUCUUGUUUUAUCCCUUUCUUGAUAGUAUUUGCCCAGGUGAACCCUAAUUCCAUUAUUUCACUGAUUCAGUUUCCCCUUUGUGAAUUCUUGGAGUCUUUCUGGCUCUCAUAGGUGAAAUGCAUUGAAGAUAUCCACUAUGGUGGACCUCUGGUUAGACCUUGACUAUUCAUUAACAUCUACCUUGGAUCAGUUGUAGUUGAAACAUUCUUCUUUCCCAAUACUCUUUUCCUCCACUCUCAAGCUGUUCUCUCUAGCCUUCAUUAUGCCUCUCCAUUGGAUGGAACAGGGAUUCCACAAAUCCGCUUUGAUAAAACUUUAGAGAAUAUUUCUAAUCAACUCAAAAGAAUAUCAUUAAAUAUUCAGAAUUUUUAAAAAAGUAACAAUAAACCCAUAGUACUUUGACUUUUGCAAAUUGCUUUGCGUGUGUAAUAGGGGACCUGGCCAAGGAGGGUCCAGUACUUAGGGUGUGCACAUUAUGUUUUACCUAGAACUAACCCACGUGGAGGUGUGAUAGGUUUUCUUUAAGGCAUUAUUAGAGGGGCCUUUCCCUCAAUUGGGAGCAUGCUUACUAUGUGUUGCUUGAGCAUUUAUUUAGUGCCUACUAUGUGCCAAGCACUCUGAUUAAGUGAUAGGGAAACAAGGAAAAGCAAAACAUAGUUCUAGCUCUCCAGAAACUCACAGUCUUAUGGGGGAGAUACCAUAGAAAUAACUAUGCACAGACAAGCUAUAUACUAUAUACAGGAUAAAUUGGAGAUAAAACAGAGAAGAGGCACUACUAUCAAGGGGAUGAGGGAAGGCUUCUUUUAUUUAUUAUUUUAAAAAUGUAUAUCUUUUUAAUUUUUAUAUUUUUCCAUGGUUACAUGAUUCAUGUUAUCUUCCUCCUCUUUUCCCUACCCCUUCCUGGAGAUGACAAGCAAUUCCACUGGGUUAUGCAUAUAUUAUCACUCAAAACCCAUUUCCAUAUUAUUUAUUUUUGUCAUAGAGUAAUAUGUUAAAACCAAAAUCCCAAAUCAUAUGCCCAUAUAAAGAAGUGAUAAAUCAUAUGUUUUCUUCUGCUUUUCUUCUCCAACUGUUCUUUCUCUAGCUAUGGACAGCAUUCUUUCUCAUAAGUCCCUCAGGAUUAUCUUGAAUCAUUGCAUUGCUUUUAGUACCAAAGUCAAUUACAUUUGAUUAUCCCACAACUACUAUGUAUAGUAAUGGUCUCCUGGUUUUGCUUAUUUCACUCUUCAUCAGUUCACAUAGGUUUUUCCAGUUCUUAUAGAAAUCAUACUGUUCAUCAUUCCUUAUAGCACAAUAGUAUUCCAUCACCAUCAUAUACCACAAUUUGUUCAGCCGUUCCCCAAUUGAGGGAAGUCAUUUUCCAAUAUUUUGCCACCACAAAAAGCUCAGCUAUAAAUAUUUUUGUACAAUCAGGUCCAUCCCCAUUGAAGGCUUCUUUUAGAAAGUGGAAUUUUAUCUGGGACUUGAAGAAAGCUAGGAAAGCCUGGAGUCAGAGAUGAGAAGAAGGGAUUCUAGGCAUGGGAGAUAGCCAAAGAAAAUGCUUGGAGUUGGGAUAUGAAAUCUUUUUUGAGGAACAUUUAGGAGAUAGUGUCAUUGGGCCUCAUAGUACACAAAUGGAAUAAAGUGUAAGAUCAGAAAGGUAGGAGGGGCCAAGGUUGUAAAGGAUUUUAUGGUUCAUUCAGGAGGUCAUAGAGACCCACCGAAGUCUAUUUAAGAGGGGGUGUGAGAUGGUCAGAUCUGCUUUUUUGGAAGAUUAAUUGCUUUAGGAAUUAAUUAGGAAAAUUAAUUUGGCAACUGAGUGGAGGAAAGGCUUGAGGCAGGGAGGGCAACCAAAAGGCUAUUAUAAUAAAAUAAUGAGAGCCUGAAUCAGGUUGGUGGCAGUGCCAGAGAAGAGAAGGUGGUGUAUAUGAAAGACGUUAUGAAGGUGAAAUUGAAAGGACUACUUGACAACAAAUUAAACGUGCAAGAGUGAGAGAGAGGAAUUAAGAAUGAUAUCUGUUUUAAGUCGAUGGGACUGGGAAGAUGGUGGUAUCCCAAAUAAUAAUAGGGAAGUUUGGAAAGGAAAAGGUUUGGGGGUAAAAGAUAAUGAGCUCAGUUUUAGGCAUGUUAAGUUUAAGAUGUCCACAAGUCAUCCAGUUUGAGAUGUCCAGUAGGCAGUUGUUGAUAUGAGUCUAGAAGUUAGGAGGGAGAUUCAAGCUGGAAAAGUAGAUCUGAGAAUCAGAUAACUGUCUUUUCUUAUCUACCAGGGAGAUAGCAACCAGGACAGCUGAUUUUCUGGGAGCUGUAAAAUUAAAAAUUUAAUCUCUAAUAAUAAUAUUAUUAUAUUUUAUGAUGUUUAUUAAAUGAUCAUUAGAAAUCAAGGAAUAAAGAAGAUACAAAAUAAAGACCACAUGCCCAUGACUGAUCAGCCAGUUUAAACACUCGCCUUACCACCACCAAGCUCAGGACCAGAAGUAAAGAGGUGGGACUUUCCACGUCCCCACCUAAUAUCCCCUAUCUAUAGGAAGUAUGUAAUAACAGGAAGUCAGUGGGCUCCUGGGAAUGUAGUUCUUUUUUUAGGGUAACAGAUUUUCAAUUAUACAUUCUCCCCUGAGAUCCGUGGAAGACUAGUCUCUCCAAUGGGUCUUAUAAACAUAACCAACUUUGAAAUUACAAUAAUUUGGGGAUAAAAGGAAAAGAGAAUGAUUGCUAGGCAGGAAGUGAUAUGAAAUAUAAAGAUAGUUCUUUACAUUACUUCCCAUGUCUCACAUGUACCAAUGCUGGCUUAAACUUGGCUUAGGACAGCCCAGGGGGGGUCAGUCAGUUGUUUCUGAUUUGUCACUUCCUAGCACAUGUCUGUCAUAGGCCAUCCUCUAAAAUACUUAAUCAUUAAGUGUGGGUGUAGACAUUCCUGGUUGCUAAAAUUCUAAAGUCUAAGCAGGGUGGAGAAAAUCUAAAAUUCACAGGGACUCCAAAGUGGGAGAAGGACCAACCUCUUGUUCUUUCUCUUAAGUUCUUGUAGCAUGGCUAUGAGUGCAUUAGACGAAUGUUUUCCUGUUUCUAUAUAUUUAUUUCCCACUUCUCUCAGGUGAAUGAUUACCAAAGAUGGAAUGGACCCAAAAAAGACCAGAAGAGCCACCUGAGAUCCAGCAGCUGGAGUGACCCGCUAGAACUAGUUUAGCAGUGCAUUGACUCUGCAACUGAAACACCAUGUCCUAUAAGCAAAAAAGCAACUAGUUCAUCAGAAAUCCAUGGAGGAAAACCAAAGGCACCCAGCAGAAAGAAAGUCAGCCCAGAAAGAAGACAAUGCAGAUGUCUGUCUGGCACCAUCCAUGGCACAGCACAGAGGCCAGACAACUGAAAAAACAGUAAAUGAACUAGAAAAGGCAAAAUCACUGCCUUAGAGUCAGGUCUAUUGCAACAUCCGCACAAAUUAACUUUUUCUGAGAGACAGUUGACCUACAGAAGAAUAUCAUUAAUUUGCUUAUGGAUAUUUCAUUCUAGAAGUUUAUGGGUAUUUGUUGUAAAAUCAAAGUUUAUCAUGUACCUGAAAUUUUCAAAUGAUAUUUGUACAAUAUGUAACUUGCAAUUAUUUUAUUGUAAUUGUUCCAUUUUACCCAAAUUUGAUCAAAUAACAAAUUGUACAUUUAGGAAUGUUAUAAAAGUACAUUGGAUACUGUUCAAUUGCAGCAGAAAUUGUUUCUAUUAUCUAAAAUGUAUGUAUGAUAAUUGUCUUAUAUGGUUCAUUUUAUAUUUUCAAGAAGAAAGUAUGUCUUUAUUAGAAUCAGACCUAUCUAAAAGUCAAUUUUGUUGGAAAUGGCAUUUAAGCUUUUAAAAGAAAAAAAGGGUGGUAAUGGUACUGCUAACCAUCAAUCUCUUCUACAUCCAAGAAGGGAUAUAGGCUAAUUCUAUGCAUAACACUUUGAAUGUAAUGAUAAAGAUUACAUUGCAUGAUAUAACUGGAUUGGGUUAAAUAUUACCAGGAAUUUAAGACUAUGAGGGACCCAACAGGAUGAUUAUAUUGGGUCGAGGGUUUGUUUGUAUUUCUACAGAUAGUGAAAACAUCUGGUCACACACAAAACACAUCAUGCCAUGGGACAUGAGACCAGGAAGAGAAGCAGACGAACAACACUGAGGACAUCAGUUAGCUGCACACCAGUCACACUCCAGACAUGCUGGACGAAAUCAUCACUGGUGACUACACACACACACACACCAAAGACUGACAUUACACUUCUCAUAAUUAUAUUCACUAUCAUUACCCUGAUGGACACUUGUCAUGCUGACGUCUAUUGGUAUACCUAAACCAAUAUCAAGAAUGUUAACGUGUUAACUAUGUUAACUAAACCCCACUUGUGUAUGUUAAUGACACCAGAUAAAUCCCAUACUCCAAAGACUUUACCAUGGGAUCAAAAGGAAAUAGCUACAAUUGUUCAGACACUACUGUACACCCUUCAUUUUGUAUGUCUAUGCUAUAUACUGUCAAAAGGAAGUUAUUUUGUAUGCACUAUAAAAUUCCAACUUGUAUUGUAAGAAAUGCUACUAUGAACAAUUGUAUAGGCAUUGGUAUAGCUCUCAGGGGAGAAGGAGAUAGAAUUUUUCAUCCACAGCAUAGACAUAGUAACCCUGACAUCAAAAAAUUGUGUUUAAAGCAGGAAGAGACACUGCACAGGGAUUUAUAAUGGACAGAUUGUCCUGAUCCAACUCUUAAAAAGGGAUGAGAUGUCAGACAGAAUGUACUUUGAAAUUUUUAAUUAAGAACCUAAAUUAUUGAAAAUGGUCAUCUACAUCUAUGUAUAGAUUAUGUUCCUGACAAUUCCUAUGUAGAUAUUAUGUGCCAACCACCAUUGGUGUGGUUACAUGUUAAAGAUUUGAAAAAAUUGGCACUAGUAAGUUUGUAGAAAAAGCACAUUGGAUAUUAUACAUUUACAACAAGGAAUUAAUGAGUUUCAUCAAAUUCGAUAUGAGCAAGAAGCUGUAGAAAUUGCUUCUACAUGAAAAGAAACUUAAGCUUCUAUUAACCCAAAAAUUGUUUUAGUAGAGUGAAUUUUUCAUACAUUGGCAAUGUUAUAUUCUUGCCAAAAACUGUGCUAAGCUGUAGGGAUGCAAAGGAAGGUCCCUUCCCUUAAGGUGCUCACAAUCUAACAAGGAUGACAAAAAUUAAACAAAUAUGUAGGGGCAGCUAGGUGGCUCAGGAGAUUGAGGGUUAGUCAGGUCUAGAGAAAUCUAGCCCUAGACACUUCCUACUUAUGUGACCCUGGGAAAGUCACUUAACCCUCACUGCCUAGUCCUUACUGUUCUUCUGCCUUGGUAUCAUUACAUAGUAUUGAUUCUAAGACAGAAGGUAAGAGUAAAAAAAAAAAAUACAAAACGAUCUAUACCACCUCACCCCCACCUCCCAAACGCAAACUCAAGAUAAACAGGAGAUAAUUAACAGGGCCAACAGAAUUAAAAGGAGUUGGGAAAAGCUUCCUGUAGAAAGUAGGGUUUUAGCUGGGAUUUGAAGGAAGCCAAACAGCUCAAGGGGCAGAGAUGAGGAAAGAAAUUGUUCCAAGCAUGGGGGACAGUCAGGGAAAGAGUCUGGAGUCAAGAGAUGGAACGUCUUGUUUGAGGUAUAGCAAGAAGGCUAGUGUCACUGAAUGGAAGAGUUACAUGGCAGAGAUGAGGAGUAAGAAGACUAGAAGCAGGGAAAGUUUUGUAUUUGAUCUUGGAGGUGACAAUAGAAUGGAGUUAUUAUAUAUAUAUAUAUAUAUAUAUAUAUAUAUAUAUAUAUGUUAUGGAGAUAUAUAUUAUAUUUAGGAGUUUAUUGAGUAGAGAUGAUAUGGUUGUAUUAAUAUUAAAAUUCUCUGCAGACUAUAUAUUAAUUUAUAAUUAUUUGUUAAAUAGUGAAAAGCGAAUCCAUCAUAUGGCCAGUUACCAGAGUUUACUCCUCAUCUCUGGGUUCUUGUUACCCAGGAAAAAGAGCUGAGCUUCUUUAAUCCAUCACUUAUAUCCCCCAACCACAUCACUUUCUGGGUUUCCCUUACUGGACAGACUUGACCUCAGUCCAGGUCAGAGGCUGGUCUUCUGGAUGCCACCCACGAGUCAUGUCUCCUAAGACCUUAGGGAGUUUGAAGGCUUGCCCCGCCACAGUAUGCAGGUGCCAAUUGUAACUCAGGACAAAAGAGUCUAUACUUUGAAAUGUUGAAGAGUCCCUUUCCUAGAUGCAGUCAGAAGAGCAGAUGACUCAAUGGAUGGACAUUCGGGGACAAUGGGCCCUUCCAGAGGUUUGCUUUUAUUCUCCUACCCAGGACUCCAAUCAACACAUUUCCUCCUUAAGCAUGCCUGAGUCUUAGUUUAGGAGUCUUCUUUUAUAUUUUUUCCAGACCUUGGCUGAACAAAUAUUUAUCCUGGGUUGGUCAUGUCCAGGCUUGGAGGUGACCCUGUAAAUUUGAGAACUUCAAAGGUUAAUAGUGCCAGGGAAUAAGUCCUCAGAUACUUUUUUUUUUAAUACUACAGUAAUACUUUAUUUUUAAAAAAAUAUUUUUCCAUGUUUACAUGAUUCAUUUUCUUCCCCUCUUCCUUCCCAGAUCCAAUAAGCACUUCCACUGGGUUAUGCAAAUGUUAUAAUUUCAAAUACUACUCUUGUGAUAAUACUCAGAUACUAUUUGAAUGCUCUCAAGGAAAAGAUGGCUGUGGAUAAGAGGAUAGGCUUAAGCCUGUACAUUUUACCAGAAGAUAUGUAUGUCCCAGGAGUUGUUUCAACAGUGCAGAGUUAAGGUGAAAUAAAUGACUAACUAGCAAUCCUAAAAACUGUUUUAUGUCUUCCCCCUCUCCCCCCAAACCUUUACCUUCUAUCUUGGAAUCAAUAGCACGUAUUGGUUCUAAGGCAGAAGAGUGGUAAGGGCUAGGCAUUGGGGGUUAAGUGACUUGUCCAGGGUCACACAGCUGGGAAGUGUCUGAGACCAGAUUUGAACCUAGGGCCUCCCAUCUCUAGGCCUGGCUCUCAAUCCACUGAGCCAUCCAGCUGCCCCCUUUUUUAUGUCUUAAAAAUUUUUAAGUAUUGAUUUCCCAGUAAAUUAUAACAAUAGUUUUAAAGCUGUUAUUGAAUUCUGUUUAAGUUCUGUAAAUGCAUCUUUGUGAUUCUUUUAUAAUUCAUUUUCUUGUGUAUAUGGGCAUAUAUCACCUGUUACAUACCUGAUUCAUAUAUAUUUUUUGAACCCUUAUCUUCCAUCUUGGAAUCAGUACUAUGUAUUGGUUCCAAAGAAGAAAAGUGGUAAGGGCUAGGCAGUGGGGGUUAAGUGACUUGCCCAGGGUCACAUAGCUGGGAAGUGUCUGAGUGAGGCCAGAUUUGAACCUAGGACCUCCUAUCUCUAGGCCUGACUCUCAAUCUACUAAGCUACCCAGCUGCCCCCUGAUUCAUAUGUUACAUUUAAUACUUUUGAUAGUUCCCAUUUUGAAGAAAAUCCUACAUGUAAGUCUUAAGCUAGAAGUAAAACUGUUCCUGAAUUAUCCACAUAAAGGUUUUAAUGAGUAUGAGAAAAAGCAGCCUCUUGUCAUCAUAGGUCAGUCUCAUCAGGAUGGCACCCAGUCCAAACCACAUGCCUUGGCACAGAACAGGGAGUGGCAUGGGAUCCCAGGCCCUCAUGGUUAGAAAUAGCAGAAAAUAAUUCAGGGAUUUUUAUUUCUCUAUGAAUCAGAAACAUAACUAGCUAAAUCAACAGAGGAAAUUCAUCUAUGACUAAAUCACAGAGAAGUUAUGUAUGGUUUACUGUGGACCAAACUAAAAGUGUAUGUAUUGUUUAUUGUUAACUAAAUCCAAAAAAGAAGUGGGUGGCUAUCAUGCUGGCCUUAGUUUGGAGGCAAAACAAAUCUUCCCCAGGGGGGUGUGUAUGACAAUAUUAAAGUUACUAUUAUUCUCUUUGAUAAGAAGUUAAACUAAAAUCUUAACUGAAAAGGACUUUUGUUUUAUCAAUGUUAUGAAAUUUCUUCAUCUCUUGUGCCCUGGUUACAAUAAAAUAUGAGUUGGAAAUUGCUUAGGUCAGAGAGUUGUCUGUUUAGCAAAGGAAAUUCUGGCCAGAAUUUCCUUCCAAACAAAAUGCUUAUAAAAUAAUAAAAUGUGUCUCUGACAGAUCUGGCUCAAACUCAGAGUGCAAAGUACUUUCCUUCCAUAGAAAGAAAUAAAGGAGUCCAAUAAGUUUUCUUGGGCAUCUCUUCCUUCUGUUAUUUCCUCUUUCAAAGAUCCUCAAACAACUCCUUAUUCCUAGUUCUUUGGUUGAUGAUCCUUCCCUACAUCCUCCAGAAAAUAUACCUUACAAGAGGCUGACUACUGAUUGUCAUCCUUUAGAAAGCUAUGCUGUAACCUCCUAGCCUUCUUUGCAGAGGUAGAGGAUUGUGGGUGUGAAAUACUGCAGAAUUGACACUUUAUUUGCUAGUUAUUAGUUAAUUAGUUUAUUUGGUUAGUUUCAUUAUGUGGAACAGCUUCCUCUCCUCCAACUCGCCCUCCUUAUUUUAUUAUUUCUUAUAAGGAAUGGCUCGUAGGGAGCCAUUUUAUUUAUAAAUGAAAGCAAUGUUAAAACAAAAGAUACCCAUAAAAAAGGUUUUUUUUGUUUUUUGUUUUUAAUGAAAGCUACAGGGGCAGCUAGGUAGUUUACUAGAUAAAGAACCAGACCUAGGGAUGGGAAGUCCUGGGUUCAGAUCUGUCCUCGGAUUCUUACCUCAGUGACUCUGGGCAAGUCACUUAAAUCCAAUUAUUACCUAGCCCUUACUUCCCUUCUGCCUUAGAACCAGUUUUUAGUAUCAACUCUAAGACAGAAGGUAAGGGUUUAAAAAAAAAAAACUAAUCCUGUUUUUAAAAUGAUCUCCAUGGAGUAUUGGACUUGGUAUUAGGGAAACUUGGGUUCAAAUCCUUCCUCAGAGAUUUACUAGCUUGCAACCUUGGGCAAAUCAGAUAAUUUCUCUUGUAUAUAUGUAAGCCCAAGUUUCCUUGUAUGUGUAGCAAUCCAUCCUUGGGCUCACUCUUCUAACCCAACUCAAACUAAUAGUUUGGGUCCCCUGAGCUGGCUGGCUUUGCCUCCACUCAGGGUUCUAGAGGUAUCCCUGGGAGGCUAGAAGAUUCUUCUAGAUGUUCAUGAACUAGAGAGUUAAUUGAUAUUAAUUAAGAGACCAACUGGUCAAAUUGAUACUGGCAGUUUAUUAACUAACUGGUCAAAUAAUCUGGUGGGAGUACAUUAGAUGAAGGUUCAAACAAGGAUUACAGAAGCCUCAAACCAGGAGCCUACUCUCAUCCACUACCUAAGUCCUUGGAGAGGGUAGGUUCAAAAUUGUAAAUCUUGAAAUCUCUCAGACUUGUGAAUGUUAAAAAUUUCCCCUUCAGGGAAUUCUUAAUUGGAACAAAUUCCCUACUGAGAAACAUUCCCCAUUUUGAUGUGAGAACUCGCCAGGAUCAGAAAUGGGAGGACCUCUACUCCAACCUUACUUAAGACUGCUUUAGGGGAAAAAAACUCCUUGCUAAACAAUGAAAGUACUUGGACCCAUGCUUAUAAUAAGGAAGGAGUUCUUUGAGCCAGGCCUGUUUUUAGAAUUGAUACAAUGGGAUGCUAGGUACCUAAAAGGGUCGGGCAAGUUUUCUCUUGAUGAGAUUAGUUGACUCAGCUGUGUUUUCUCUCGUUCAGACUUACUGAGGAGAUUGGUCGACUUAGCAGGAAUUUAGAUGGGCAGUCCUUUGGAAAGGGUCUACAGUGAUUGGUAGAUGUAGGGAUGUAAAGCUUUUUCUCCCAUAUCAUCAGAAUACUGUAAUGUCUCUGUAGUUAAUGCCAUUCCUACAAUGUGCCACGUGUUCCAAUUAACUUGUAAGCAAUGCUUUAAUCUUAGCCUCUGAGAUCUUAAUGCCUCUCUUUUCAAUUAAAAAGGAGAAAGUUUAAUCCAUUCCUUAACAGAAUAGCACAAUACCUUACUGGCCAAGCACAGGUUUCGCUGUUAGGACUCCAGCCAUGUUCCACAUGAAUUCUUUUCAAGUGAAGUGAUCACAAUUUAGCACCUUAGGUCCCAUCUGGGGUGCCAAAUAUAACAAUCCAUCCAGCAGUUGCUAUAUAAUUUUUCUUUGUGGGAUAUAACUUGAGAAGGAGGAAGGAGCCUGAGGAAUAUGGGAGAUAAAUGAAGACUCAAAGACAAGUUAAUUGAUAUGGGGAACGGUGCUUGCUCCUAUAAUGUUUUUCUUUGAAAAUUAAUUAAAGGAAAACAUGAGAAAUAAGAGAACACAUGGAAGUAAGAAUUCUGAGAUAGAAAGCACGUGGGCGAAAAUGUAGCUGGGAAAGAUAAGGAAAGAUAGGGAGAGGAAUGGGGUUGCAGGAAUCAAGAGGAUGAAGAGAAGGAGUAGCACCACUCCUUCGCCUUUAUUCAGGUGUGGAUUGGGAGGUGUUCAAUGAAUACAUAACAUAGCAUAGGUGAUUGACAUUGGUUGAAUUGAUAAUGAGGACAACAAAAAGGCAUGGGUAACUCCAACCCUCGCUUUGCAAAUGAGUUUGCUCCAUGCGCUAUGUUAAUGACCUUUACUUGAGGCAGAGGAGGCGUGGCCAAGUCAAGGUCUGACUAUGUGCCUAGUAAUACAAUACCAAUACAUUAAUCAUACUUUCAUGCCUGGUAUGUUACACUGGGCAAGUCACUUAACCCCCCAUUGCCGCCCUUAUACCUUGGAACCAAAACAGUGUAUUGAUUCUAAGGUGCAAAGGUAAGGGUUUAAAAGAAAGAGUAAGACUUAUUUUGUGCAUACCUGUAGUCUCCUCAGGAAAGGUGCUCAUAGAGGUAUCAAUCUGAAAAAAAAAAAACCACAGAACUACCAAAAUAGUUAUAAUAAGGGCCUUUAAUUGGGGAAGACACUCAGAAUAUCAGUCCUGGCACUUCCAUGGAAGUGCAAUUUGCUUAGCUAGAUUUCUGAGAAGAGGGAUGGGGGUUUAUGCCCUGUCACUCACUUGGGACCUGCACUAAUCAUAGUCUUAAAUGACUCAGGGGCUUAGAUGCAAUAGCCAAAGGCUAGGGUACCUGGAAGUAGCAAAGAUACAAAAGGAGAAACAAAGAAAACAUUAAAGGGUACUUAAAACGACCACACCCUCCUAUCCAUGGAGGUUCAUGGGUGCUUGAGGCCUGUUGAGACUGGGACCAGGGUCAGUUAGGGUGUUUUUUUGGAGGCAAGUUCCCAUGGGACCAAAGUAAAUUUGGGGUUUCAUGAAACAAGUUGUCAAAGAUGAGAUGACUCUUCUUGGCAAGGCCAACCCCUCCACUUAUUCCUUGGAUUCCUUUUAUUCUCCUUUCUUUUGGGAGCUUGUCCUGUUAAUGAUUCCCUUUCUCUAGUCUUCAAUCUUUUUCUAGCUAUUUAUUCCUUCCUUGAUAAUGUUGUUAAAGGGAGUUUCUUUAUCUUUCCCUCUGUUUCUUUAAGAAGCAUUAAAGAGCCUGGAACAGAAACAUGUCUAAGUAAAAGCAUGAGAGAGCUGAAGAUUCCAUCAUCACCUAGGAGACAAGGAAGAUAUAUAAGGUAUAUAAGACAAUUAAGACAAUUAAGAGAGAGACUUUUUUCUUCUGGAUUCCCAGAGAGCAAGAGAUCCAGAUCGACAGCACUGAGAAGACAAAAGCAGAAAGGAAACAAUCCUUGUUUUUGAGUGGGAAAAUAAUAGUCCCUCCACACAGGUGAAUCAAGCCCUGAGAAUGCUGCCCGGGAACGGAGUCGAGUGAGGACCCUGCGUCAAGCCUUUCUGGCUCUGCAGGCGGCAUUACCUGCCGUGCCCCCUGACACCAAGCUCUCCAAACUAGACGUACUGGUCCU
Molecule: non-coding RNA, 12886 nt
Organism: Monodelphis domestica (gray short-tailed opossum)
Lineage: Eukaryota; Metazoa; Chordata; Mammalia; Didelphimorphia; Didelphidae
Source: RefSeq, a predicted model, not a curated record